UGCCCUGUGGCCAAGCUGGUUAAGGCACCCGACUGUUACACAUCAACCCAAAAAGGGCCUGGUAUCUGCAAUCGGGAGAUCCACGGUUCGAUCCCGUGCGGGGCAG
Kwoniella mangroviensis CBS 10435 is the source of this 106-nucleotide transfer RNA. It matches the Rfam family "tRNA". Rfam says of the family: Transfer RNA (tRNA) molecules are approximately 80 nucleotides in length. Their secondary structure includes four short double-helical elements and three loops (D, anti-codon, and T loops). Further hydrogen bonds mediate the characteristic L-shaped molecular structure. tRNAs have two regions of fundamental functional importance: the anti-codon, which is responsible for specific mRNA codon recognition, and the 3' end, to which the tRNAs corresponding amino acid is attached (by aminoacyl-tRNA synthetases). tRNAs cope with the degeneracy of the genetic code in two manners: having more than one tRNA (with a specific anti-codon) for a particular amino acid; and 'wobble' base-pairing, i.e. permitting non-standard base-pairing at the 3rd anti-codon position. NCBI's taxonomy places the organism in Eukaryota, Fungi, Basidiomycota, Tremellomycetes, Tremellales, Cryptococcaceae. The record is from Rfam.